Molecule: long non-coding RNA, 1267 nt
Organism: Aegilops tauschii subsp. strangulata
Lineage: Eukaryota; Viridiplantae; Streptophyta; Magnoliopsida; Poales; Poaceae
Source: RefSeq, a predicted model, not a curated record
GUAUGCUUCGUGCGCAAGCACACUCUGGCCUCCUCUUCUACUCUCUGCGUGCAAGAACAGAGAGAAAGCAAAACUGACUAGGCACUUUCACUCGUGAUUUAGGGCGAUUUAGAGUCGGACUUUGAAUAUGCUGAAGUUGAAGAAAAGAUAGACGAAGGUAUUAUUUUAUUAUUUUCUGGAGUCAUUUAGAGCUUGAGGAGUAGGAUUUGUGUAGCGAAGUCAACUACGAAGUUGAAGAUCAAGGUAUGAGCUUUGCAAUACAUUGAUUUACUUGUGCAUGCAGGGUGGUAAUUAGUUCGUCUUUUAGCUCGUUAUUAGCUAUGCGAUGGUAGUGCUUAGUGGUUAGAAAUAAUUUCAGACGACAGAUGUAGCAUUUAUACUAUUUUUUCAGAAGAGUAGGUUGAAGAUGUUGUAUCAAUGUUAGGUGCGUCCAUUAGUAUUGACAUGCGGGAAAUCUUAAUACGGUAAUUAAGAAAAAAUUGUACUGUAAUUGUUCAUUGCAUGUGGUACGUUAUUUCAUGUGGUAUGUUAUUUCAUGUGGUAUGUUUAUUAAUAAGUCUAUAGUUAGGAAACCGUAGGUCUACUUUGUUAUGUCGCAAUAAUCUAAAUUUUAUAUGUUAAGAUUAGGUGCUAAUGUACUUAAUGAUGUAUGUAAUUAGGUAAAAUAAUUCAUCUUAGUAGCAAACAAGGAGGAGAUGACGUGAUUGAAGAAAUUGUGUAUCCAUCUUCGCUGUCCCUUUUGAGGUUGACUCCGUUCAUAUAGCACUGGUGACGGAUAUUUAUUGGAACUAUUUUGACGCUUAAUUGCAUUCGCAAGCACAUCCAUAUUGGAGCUAAGGUAUAAAAUGACACCGUAAUUUUGAUAAUAUUUUUUGUAUUGAUGUACUAUUGUGAAUAAUGUGCAUGCCGCUGUAAAUAUUAUUAUUUGUAAAUAAAUGAUUGUUAUCGUAUGAUAUGAAAAAAUUAUAUAAAGCCGGAAGAAAUUAAAUGGUUUACUCAUAUGAUAUUAAAAUGUUAUUAUCGUACUAUUAUGUUUAGUGGUUGUUUGGAUAGCGAGUAAUUACCAUCGGUUUUGUCAUAACCUGUUGUAAGAAAAUUAGUUUUUACUAAUAGUCGUUUUUCCAAAAGCUCAGUUUUUGCAUGUUACGAGAAUCAGUUUAGGAUAUUUUUGGGGUAGUGGGAGAAAAGCAAACAGAGUUUUAGUUUGUGACGCUCGUAGACGAGUUAGAGAAAAAAAAAGAUCUCUAAAUACCCAUUAACCAAACAA